GACGAACGCUGGCGGCGUGCUUAACACAUGCAAGUCGAGCGGUAAGGCCCUUUCGGGGGUACGACGAGCGGCGAACGGGUGAGUAACACGUGGGUGACCUGCCCUCAGCUCUGGGAUAAGCCUCGGGAAACCGGGGUCUAAUACUGGAUAUGACUCCAUGACGCAUGUUGUGGGGUGGAAAGCCUUGUGCGGCUGAGGAUGGGCCCGCGGCCUAUCAGCUUGUUGGUGGGGUGANGGCCUACCAAGGCGACGACGGGUAGCCGGCCUGAGAGGGCGACCGGCCACACUGGGACUGAGACACGGCCCAGACUCCUACGGGAGGCAGCAGUGGGGAAUCUUGCGCAAUGGGCGAAAGCCUGACGCAGCGACGCCGCGUGAGGGAUGACGGCCUGGUGUAA
This 398-nucleotide ribosomal RNA is filed under the name uncultured bacterium. RNAcentral's name for it is "bacterial SSU rRNA". It matches the Rfam family "Bacterial small subunit ribosomal RNA", at positions 28 to 428 of the family's 1533-position model. The record is from RNAcentral.